RNAcentral lists this ribosomal RNA (301 nucleotides) under uncultured bacterium. RNAcentral describes it as "partial 16S ribosomal RNA". It matches the Rfam family "Bacterial small subunit ribosomal RNA", at positions 509 to 809 of the family's 1533-position model. The record is from RNAcentral.
CAGUCGCCGCGGGAAUACGGAGGGGGCUAGCGUUGUUCGGAAUUACUGGGCGUAAAGCGCACGUAGGCGGCUUGGUAAGUUAGAGGUGAAAGCCUGGAGCUCAACUCCAGAAUUGCCUUUAAGACUGCCGAGCUAGCAGGUGAGAGAGGUAAGUGGAAUUCCGAGUGUAGAGGUGAAAUUCGUAGAUAUUCGGAAGAACACCAGUGGCGAAGGCGGCUUACUGGCUCAUACUGGACGCUGAGGUGCGAAAGCGUGGGGAGCAAACAGGAUUAGAGACCCCAGUAGUCCCUGUCUCUUAUAA